RNAcentral lists this long non-coding RNA (1322 nucleotides) under Homo sapiens (human). RNAcentral describes it as "long non-coding RNA NONHSAT215556.1". The record is from RNAcentral. Lineage: Eukaryota; Metazoa; Chordata; Mammalia; Primates; Hominidae.
CCGGAAGAAAGGGCAGGAUUUUGAUAGGAGGGAUCCUGCUUUCAUUAAUCGUACUUGAGGCAUACUUAGCACAUACAUCCUUAUAGAGUUCAUUUAAUGAGUUUUCUAAUUUCCUGCCUUAAGGGAAACUGAAUUACUGCCCCCCACUUCCCCUUUUUUUUCUGGCACUAGAAAGAGAAGUGUUUUAGUUCCAAUUCCAUGCCUUCAUGUAUUGAAAUUAUUCAGCCCAGAGAUGAGGGGUUUUAUUUGUUUGUUUGUUUUGUUUUUUUGAGACAGGGUCUCGCUCCAUCGCCCAGGCUGGAGUGCAGUGGCGCAAUCUCGGCCCACUGCAAGCUCCCGCCUCCCGAGUUCACGCCGUUCUCCUGCCUCAGCCUCCCGAGUAGCCGGGACGAGAUGAGGAUUUUUUUAGACCAAAAGAGAAGCAGUGGAGACAGUAAGAAGUUACUGGAUUUUACUGUUUGCUGAUGAAUGGGAAGUGGAGAAAGAAAGGAGCUCCAUCGCACUCUGCUGCACUGGCCACCUGCAUAUCAAGGUUGCACUUCAUCUGUACGUCCUGUCUCUGGCAACUGUGAUGUUCAACUUCCCUGAACUAGAAGAAGAGGGAAGAAGAAAAACCUCUUCUUUGUUGAGAAUUCAUUCCAGCACAAUUACCCGGCAGGGAGCCUGCCUUCUAGGUUCCCUCCCACGCACUGCUGGAAGCUUCCAGCAUCCUAUCUCUGCAGCUCUAACCCUGUGUCUGCUUUGAUAAGAGCUAUGGUGUAAUCAGCGCAGCCGCAGUUCUCUAGCUCUGAUUCCCCCUUGUGGCUUCUGCAUUCCUGUUGAUAAUUAAAGAAAGCUUUCUUGCCAUGAUGCAGGCUAUAUAAAAUAAGUUAAUAAGUAAUAAAGCAGCUGGCCUUAAGCCAGGAACUUGCUGCUGCUGGUAUCGGUCCCAUCCUGUGGUAUAGUUACUGAGGGGGAAGGAAGCUUGGCUCUCAGACACAGGCUUUUGGAAUGGAUAGCUGAGAGAGUCAGCUUGGCUUGAUGUGCCACUAAAAAUGUAAGAGCCAUAAAGAACAUUCUGUGAGAGAGUUUAUGGGUCCUUGGCCUUUGAAUGAGAUGGAUCGCUGACCCUCCUUCCUAUGUUCCCACCUCAUCUUCUCUCAAGUCCCAGAUUAUUUAACUCUUUUUGCCAACCGUAUCACUGCAUAGCUCACUCCUAUUUUAUUAGGUUUAAAAUAAAUGCAGCAGGGACCUGAUCUCCAAGUUUUGUGUUACUCAACCCUUGAUUUCAUAUCUUCCUUUUGAAGAUUGCACCCUGAUACAUUAAAGAUGAGUGCCUUGAG